AAUAUUAGUCAAUGCUCGAAAGAGUGAACUAGCUAACUGAAAUCAUAUUUGUGUCAAAUAUGAUGUCGUAAGGGAAAAUUAUGAUAUUACCUUACUAAUAGUGUCGUCUAAAACUGGUGCCAGAAGACUCGGUAAGGCCAGAGACACAAAUGUUAAUCGUCUUAAUCAGGCGUAAAGGGUUUGUAGGCUGCUUUGAAAAUAUUAAUUUAAUAUAGCCAAACGGCUUGCUGUUUAAUCUUUUGUGAAACUAUUACAAAUAGUAGUAGUCAUCAAUAGGUUCACAGUAGGCUAACAUUGUAAAUUAAUAUCAAUUAAAGCUAGAAUCUAAUAGAGGAUAUUUACAAAAUAAUGCUAAGUCGAGGGCUGAGAUCCUAAGACACUUAGUGGAGUACUAAUGGCGUAAGCAUUUAUCCAAUAAAGAUUGACGCUGAGAAACGAAGGUGAGGAUAGGAAAUAGGAUUAGAUACCCAGAUACCCCUCUCUGUCAACGAUGAAUGGUAGUUUGUUAGUCUUUAAAAGACUAGUGACGAAGUUAACACGUUAACCAUUCCGCCUUGUGAGUACGACUGCAAAGUUGAAAACAAAAAAAUUAGUCGGUCUCGGAGCAAACGAAGUGAAGUAUGUUAUUUA
RNAcentral lists this ribosomal RNA (630 nucleotides) under Flaviporus sp. X1092. Its description in RNAcentral is "partial small subunit ribosomal RNA". It matches the Rfam family "Bacterial small subunit ribosomal RNA", at positions 360 to 948 of the family's 1533-position model. The record is from RNAcentral. Lineage: Eukaryota; Fungi; Basidiomycota; Agaricomycetes; Polyporales; Steccherinaceae.